This is a long non-coding RNA of Pogona vitticeps (central bearded dragon), 1691 nucleotides long. Lineage: Eukaryota; Metazoa; Chordata; Lepidosauria; Squamata; Agamidae. The record is from Ensembl.
CACACACACACACACACACACACACACACCAUUCUUCUCUGGAGAAGAAAGUGUGAGAGGAAAAGGGCCCCAUGUGACAGUCAUUAAGCAGUCAUGCUGCUUAAUGGCAGAAGGAGAGAUGCAAAAAUAACGAAUGCCAUAGAAAAUCCAAUGUACUGGAGCCGGAUGCGGGGGAACGGACCCAGCAGAUAUCUGCCAAGGGUUUAAACUAUUCCAAGCUGCAUUAGUUUCUCCCAUCUCUGGAAGGGAUAAGAUGAGGGGAACAGACAAGCACACACAUAUGUGCGUGCACAGGAGGGGGCUAACAGCACUCUGCCUAAUGAGGGAGAAGAAGCAACAGGGAGAAUGUACCAAAGUGGUAUAUUAUCUCUUUUCACAAUAUACAGUUGGGAAUCUUUGGAGCAUGGUAGCUCUAAGCCAACCCCCAAUGGUGUUUGGAGUCUCUGUCCAACAAAAAGUCGUUAAGUCGUGUCCGACUGUUCAUGACACCAUGGACCAGAGCACGCCAGGCCCUCCUGUCUUCCACUGUCUCCCAGAGUUUGGUCAAAUUCAUGUUGGUAGCUUCAGUGACCCUGUCUAACCAUCUCUGUCGUCCCCUUCUCCUCUUGCCUUCACACUUUCCCAACAUCAGGGUCUUUUCCAGGGAGCAUUUUUCUUCUGGUUGUCCAUGGUACCUAUAAAGCUCUCCUGUAACAACACAUUCCUGUAUUCUAUCAUCUUACUUCACUGUCCAGCUCUCGUACCCAUACAUAGCAAUUAGAUAUGCCAUAGUAUGGAAUGGAUGAUGUUGGUCAUGGUGUCCAGUUACUUAUUCUUACAUUUCAACUGAUGGUGAACCAAGGUAUACAAUUUUUUAAACCAUUUUGAUUUCUGAUUUGUCAACAUUGAACUUAUGUAAUUCUUUUGUUUUCAUUAUUAUUGUCUUCUUAAGGAUCAGCUGCAAUCCUCCUCUUGCAUUUUUGUCUUUCACCAUCAUCCCCAAUAAUUUGAAAUCAUUGUUGUUUGCUGCAAGAAAUAUGGUAUAAUCUGCAUAUGUUAAAUUGUUAAUGUUUUCCUAACGAAUUUCCACUCCUUUGUCAUCUGAAUCUGAACCAACAUUUUGUAUGAUAAAGUCUGCAUAUGGAUUAAACAGUCAGGGAAAGAAAAUACACCACUCUGUGACACCACUGUCAACUGGAAACCAUUUUGUUUCUUCAUAUUGUGUAAUCUACUGCCCAGAGUAUACCGUGUUUCCCCGAAAAUAUGACAGGGUCUUAUAUUAAUUUUUGAUCCAAAAACGCAUUACGGCUUAUUUUCAGGGGAUGUUUUAUUUUUUUUUCAUGUACAACAAUCUGCAUUUAUUCAAAUACAGUCAUGUCAUCUUCUGGUUGCUGCACAAUGGUGGAAGACAAGGUUUCACUUGACUGGAGCUUAUUUUUGGGGUAGGGCUUAUAUUACAAGCAUCCUGAACAAUCAUACCAGGGCUUAUUUUCAGGUUAGUCUUACUUUUGGGGAAACAGGGUAGGUUACAUACGAGGAUAAUCAGAUGGUGUGGCACACCCACAUCUUUCAAAAUAAUCCAAAGUUUGUUUUGUUUGUUGGUUUGUUUGCUUAAUUAAUUAAUUUCCAUACCGCACCAUCUAGAGGUAUGCCAUUAGUUUUAGUGGUUUCAAAUAUAAAGUGCUAGAAUAAAACAACCAUCUGCCACUCCA